GCCGGGGGCAGCGCGCAGAGCUGGUUCCGCGGGGCUGCGCGCCCGCGGGAGCCGCGCCCGCCCCGCUGGCGCUGGCUGCCGGCUCCACCGGCACCGCGGGCACGGGGAGUGGGGCGGGAAAAGUUCUGAUUUUUGAUGUUGGAGGGGUUUACCCCCCCUUUUUUUUUUUUUUUUUUUGUGGUUUUUACCCCCAAAACAGAUAAGGGAACGCCGGGCAGGGAGCUCGCCCCAGGCCCUGCACGUAUCCCGUAGCGCGGCUGAGGCUGUGCAGGGCUGGCUGCACGGGGACCGAGGGAGGUGCCUGGAGUGGCUGCUGGAAGCGAGCGCAGCCGCUUCCCAGCCAGGUCCCAGCACAUGGACCCCACGCUUCCCUCCGAACGGGGCCGUGGGACAAGCCCCUGCCACCGCAGUGCCCCAUCCCGCUCCGGCAGCGGCCCCCGGCAGGGUGGAGAGCGGCGCAGUUUAUCGAUUUGACCUGGCCAGCCCAGCACCAAAAAGCAGAGGAAGAAAAUGCUGGCAAGGAUGAAGGAUGGAGGUCCUCUUUUCCCGUUCUUCUUCUGAUAUCUGUCAUGAUUGUUGGGAUGGAAGGCGCUGGUGGUGUCCUUGAAGGUGACAAGGCAAGCAGCAUCACCUGAACAGGCAGACCGAGUAUUUAAUGUACUACUGAAACAAAUAUGCCAAGGGGUUUUGCCAGUCAUCUGGAUCACAGAAACUGGGAAGUGAAAAAGAACAGGUAGACUUUUACAAUGCAUUUUCCUGCCAAAGUAAGAUUGUUCCCUGCAGUAUUUUCUAGUGUACUUCCCUGGCCUAUUUUAGAUGACCUUGUAGGAUGGGGAGAGGCAGGAGAAGGAAAUCUGCUAGUUACCUCUGAAAGCUCUUUGUCUAGUUUGACUAAUAUAACAUAAAGCAAGGGAAAAUGAGUGUUCAGAGGAUGUAGCUACAACACAAUAUUUAAUGUAAUUUUUGCAAGCUUUUUCAUCUCCAGCCUACUUACUAUGCCUACCACUAUGCCAGUAACAUCAGAUAGAUGAAAAGAGAAAGUAACAAAAAUAGUGUCAAUAGUCCACCUUUGCAUGAUUGCUCUUCUUUCUCUUAGCAGGAUUGUCUUGGGUGCUUUCUUCCCUUGCGAGGAAAAAUAAAUGGUAAGAGCUGCAAUGAUUGGCAGCAAGCCUGAGAACAGCAGAUGUGAGCCUGCACAGCUGGACAAAUACAAAAAUGCACUUUCUACCUACAUUUGUAUUAAGGUUGCCCCAGGGAUACCCCAGUGCCUACAGGGGGGUUCAGUAUUUGAACAGCCGAAGCCAUCAGGCACAUUUACAUAUAUGAGAACACUUGGUAUCCUUUUCAAAGUCAAAAAGAGCAACAAUUAAACCAACAUAAAGGAAAA
Passer domesticus (house sparrow) is the source of this 1387-nucleotide long non-coding RNA. RefSeq lists it as uncharacterized. The transcript has 3 exons. NCBI's taxonomy places the organism in Eukaryota, Metazoa, Chordata, Aves, Passeriformes, Passeridae. The record is from RefSeq and is a predicted model, not a curated record.